Molecule: non-coding RNA, 28 nt
Filed under: Bombyx mori (domestic silkworm)
Lineage: Eukaryota; Metazoa; Arthropoda; Insecta; Lepidoptera; Bombycidae
Source: RNAcentral
GAAACUGGAACAAUGCCGAUAACGCGGU